CCUACGGGAGGCAGCAGUGGGGAAUUUUGGACAAUGGGGGCAACCCUGAUCCAGCCAUGCCGCGUGCGGGAAGAAGGCCUUCGGGUUGUAAACCGCUUUCGGCCGGAACGAAAUCGCCGGGGAGAACACCCCCGGUGGAUGACGGUACCGGAAGAAGAAGCACCGGCUAACUACGUGCC
RNAcentral lists this ribosomal RNA (179 nucleotides) under uncultured bacterium. Its description in RNAcentral is "partial 16S ribosomal RNA". It matches the Rfam family "Bacterial small subunit ribosomal RNA", at positions 338 to 509 of the family's 1533-position model. The record is from RNAcentral.